AGUAGUCAUACGCUCGUCUCAAAGAUUAAGCCAUGCAUGUGUAAGUAUAAAUAGUCUACUUUAAAACUGCGAAUGGCUCAUUAUAUCAGUUAUAGUUUAUUUGAUGAAAUGUACUACUUGGAUAACCGUAGUAAUUCUAGAGCUAAUACAUGAUCGUAUCCUCGACUUUGAAGAGGUGUAUUUAUUAGAAUGAAAACCAAUAGACUUUGUCUGUUUGUGAGUAAUAAUAACUUGUCAUAUCGCAUGCUUUUGUAGCGAUGUGUCUUUUAAGUUUCUGCCCUAUCAGCUUUCGAUGGUAGUGUAUUGGACUAGCCAUGGCAGUAACGGGUAACGAAGAA
RNAcentral lists this ribosomal RNA (338 nucleotides) under Blastocystis sp. RNAcentral describes it as "SSU rRNA". It matches the Rfam family "Eukaryotic small subunit ribosomal RNA", at positions 19 to 369 of the family's 1831-position model. Lineage: Eukaryota; Bigyra; Opalinata; Blastocystidae. The record is from RNAcentral.